UUCUCUUUUGUUGACUGUCUCCAUGGCGACAGACAAGGGCCACAGAUCCUGUUCACUAGGAGGCAGUUGAUUCUGGAGGAGCAGAGCUGGCCCCACAUAAAGGGGUCAAACUGAAAAGCACCACCGUGAAAGCAGCAGUGAAAGGCCAGGUGUCUCCCCUGUUACAAGAGGGGCACCACCCUUGCCACAUUUUUGUAACUGGGAAGGAAGACAUUGUGGAAAUGCACCCUCAGCCCUGAGAUGUCGCCAGCCAUUUCUACUGGCCAGUCUUCCAGCAGCUUAUCAAUUUUACCUCCUCCCAAUAGAAGAGACAAGCUCCCAUCUACCUGGAAGGCCAAUCCAUACUCUGUGUGCCUCCAGUGACUGGAGUAACACAGCACAAAACCCACUCCAGUCUGAAGAUCUAUUCAGCCUCAACUCAAAGGCCUGUCUCAGGGAGGACUAUGCUCCCAGGAUUUCAUUGCUUCCUACAAUAUAUGUUUUUAGUGGCUACUUCCUAUUUUUCUCCAAAGCCGGCCACCUGCUAGCCAGCUAUGAAUAGCUCAAGAAGUCACCCAUGAGAAUUCCUUUCUGACCAUAUUUCACCACAAUGAAUUGAAAGCAAGUUAAGGCAUGCCUGGAUUCCAUUGUGAGUGGACUUGGAUGCUGGCCUUUGAAAGGCGCUGGUCAACAAGGGCAAAUCUUCCUAAAGAUAGGAGGACCACGUGGUCAUCUCCUUCAAAGGAAUUUUUACUACCAAGGGGCAGUUAAUCAUCUUAUCUCUGGCACCUCUUGCCACUUCCACGAACUUGAUUCAUUGGGCCUCUAUUUCACUUCUACAGUAGAGUGAAUACUAAAGUCCACCCAACAUCCAUCUAGCUUUCCACUAGGAAAGCACUCAAUGCUUCCCCACCCUCACCUGUGACUCAGUCCAAAUACCAGGGGAGGUUGUUUCAUAUUUGUUGUGGAAUAUUAUUUUAAGAUAUGUUUAUGCUGGAACAUUUGUUUAAUGAUGGAAAGAUGUGUUGCAUUCUUUUAUGC
Peromyscus eremicus (cactus mouse) is the source of this 1020-nucleotide long non-coding RNA. RefSeq lists it as uncharacterized. Lineage: Eukaryota; Metazoa; Chordata; Mammalia; Rodentia; Cricetidae. The record is from RefSeq and is a predicted model, not a curated record. The transcript is spliced from 2 exons.